This is a long non-coding RNA of Xenopus tropicalis (tropical clawed frog), 531 nucleotides long. RefSeq lists it as uncharacterized. Lineage: Eukaryota; Metazoa; Chordata; Amphibia; Anura; Pipidae. The transcript has 3 exons. The record is from RefSeq and is a predicted model, not a curated record.
GGUAGCUGAACAUGGUGAGUGCUGUUUGGGUAUAGAAGGGUUAAUGUAGGAGGAGUCUACAGGUAGCUGAACAUGGUGAGUGCUGUUUGGGUAUAGAAGGGUUAAUGUAGGAGGAGUUACAGGUAGCUGAACAUGGUGUGUGCCGUUUGGAUAUAGAAGGGUUAAUGUAGGAGGAGGCAACAGGUAGCUGAACAUGGUGAGUGCCGUUUGGGUAUAGAAGGGUUAAUGUAGGAGGAGUCUACAGGUAGCUAAACAUAGUGAGUGCUGUUUGGGUAUAGAAGGGUUAAUGUAGGAGGAGUUACAGGUAGCUGAACAUGGUGAGUGCUGUUUGGGUAUAGAAGGGUUAAUGUAGGAGGAGUUACAGGUAGCUGAACAUGGUGAGUGCUGUUUGGGUAUAGAAGGGUUAAUGUAGGAGGAGUUACAGGUAGCUGAACAUGGUGUGUGCCGUUUGGAUAUAGAAGGGUUAAUGUAGGAGGAGGCAACAGGUAGCUGAACAUGGUGAGUGCCGUUUGGGUAUAGAAGGGUUAAUGU